RNAcentral lists this ribosomal RNA (588 nucleotides) under Adelie penguin guano bacterium 85. RNAcentral describes it as "bacterial SSU rRNA". It matches the Rfam family "Bacterial small subunit ribosomal RNA", at positions 93 to 695 of the family's 1533-position model. The record is from RNAcentral.
UAGUGGCGAACGGGUGAGUAACACGUGAGUAACCUGCCCUUGACUCUGGGAUAAGCCUGGGAAACUGGGUCUAAUACUGGAUAUGCACCGUGGACCGCAUGGUUCUUGGUGGAAAGAUUUAUUGGUCAAGGAUGGACUCGCGGCCUAUCAGCUUGUUGGUGAGGUAAUGGCUCACCAAGGCGACGACGGGUAGCCGGCCUGAGAGGGUGACCGGCCACACUGGGACUGAGACACGGCCCAGACUCCUACGGGAGGCAGCAGUGGGGAAUAUUGCACAAUGGGCGAAAGCCUGAUGCAGCGACGCCGCGUGAGGGAUGACGGCCUUCGGGUUGUAAACCUCUUUCAGUAGGGAAGAAGCGAAAGUGACGGUACCUGCAGAAGAAGCGCCGGCUAACUACGUGCCAGCAGCCGCGGUAAUACGUAGGGCGCAAGCGUUAUCCGGAAUUAUUGGGCGUAAAGAGCUCGUAGGCGGUUUGUCGCGUCUAUCGUGAAAGUCCGAGGCUCAACCUCGGAUCUGCGGUGGGUACCGGCAGACUAAGAGUUGAUGUUAGGGGAAGACUGGAAUUUCCUUGGGUGUAACCGGUGAAA